UGAGCUUGAUCCUGGCUCAGGACGAACGCUGGCGGCGUGCCUAAUACAUGCAAGUCGAACGCUUUUUCUUUCACCGGAGCUUGCUCCACCGAAAGAAAAAGAGUGGCGAACGGGUGAGUAACACGUGGGUAACCUGCCCAUCAGAAGGGGAUAACACUUGGAAACAGGUGCUAAUACCGUAUAACACUAUUUUCCGCAUGGAAGAAAGUUGAAAGGCGCUUUUGCGUCACUGAUGGAUGGACCCGCGGUGCAUUAGCUAGUUGGUGAGGUAACGGCUCACCAAGGCAACGAUGCAUAGCCGACCUGAGAGGGUGAUCGGCCACACUGGGACUGAGACACGGCCCAGACUCCUACGGGAGGCAGCAGUAGGGAAUCUUCGGCAAUGGACGAAAGUCUGACCGAGCAACGCCGCGUGAGUGAAGAAGGUUUUCGGAUCGUAAAACUCUGUUGUUAGAGAAGAACAAGGAUGAGAGUAAAAUGUUCAUCCCUUGACGGUAUCUAACCAGAAGCACCG
This 514-nucleotide ribosomal RNA is filed under the name Enterococcus sp. M10-C26. RNAcentral's name for it is "bacterial SSU rRNA". It matches the Rfam family "Bacterial small subunit ribosomal RNA", at positions 1 to 495 of the family's 1533-position model. Lineage: Bacteria; Bacillati; Bacillota; Bacilli; Lactobacillales; Enterococcaceae. The record is from RNAcentral.